Molecule: long non-coding RNA, 1017 nt
Filed under: Piliocolobus tephrosceles (Ugandan red Colobus)
Lineage: Eukaryota; Metazoa; Chordata; Mammalia; Primates; Cercopithecidae
Description: lncRNA (ENSPTEG00000002347.1)
Source: RNAcentral
UAUUUACAAGGUGGUAAAAAUUAAAAAAAAAAUCACAGAAAAUUAAAACCAAUAACAGGUUUUUGUACAUAUAAGCUCGUCAAAAAAAAAAACUAAUAAAACAUAAGCCUACAAGUCAAUUACUUUAUGUGUGAAAAAAAAAAAAAAAAAAAAAAAAAAAAACACGAGCUAAUAAAAGCAGUGAAGGAAGAAAAAACUAAAACAAAUUUAAAAAAAUAAAAUACAAAAAACGAAUGUUGCUAUAAUUCAAUUGAAAAAAAAUCAAACACAACUACAACAGAUAAUAUCAUCAUAGACAAAGUGGUAAUAUUGCAUGGUGAUAAAAAGGGACACGAAACAAUGAACAAAGAAAAGGUAAGAGAAAUAGGAGAGCAGAAAGUCGAGCAAAAAGCAGAGCAAAAGGCAGAGCAAAAAGCAGAGCAAAAAGCAGAGCAAAAAGCAGAGCAAAANNNNNNNNNNGAGCAAAAAGCAGAGCAAAAAGCAGAGCAAAAAGCAGAGCAAAAAGCCGAGCAAAAAGCCGAACGUGAGCAACCAGGUAGACAGGCAAAAACACUCACGGGGAAACAAACAGAGGGACAAACAGAGGGACAAACAGGGGGGCUAACAGAAAUCGAAGACGUUCCACAAAAUAGUAAAAAAGAUUUAACAAUAUUGACCAGUACAAGGUAUGCAAAAAAUGACAUAUAUAAUGAAGUCGAUUUGGAUGAUAAUAAUGUGUUAAUUGAAAAAACAAAGAACAGUUCAUUUCGUUCAUCUAGCUUGGUAAAAUUGAAUAAAAUAAGUAACCACAAAAAGGUAGCAAUAAAGAAAAAAGAAGAGAAAAAAAAUGAAAAAAAUACAAAUGAAAAGGUAAAAAAUACAGACGAAAUAAACUUAGAAAAUACAUUACAACAAGAUAAAAAAAAAAAAAAAAAAAUCCAAGAAGAAAGAAAAAUUAUAACUGUGUUUACAAGUAUAAUAAGUCCAGGACAAGAUAUGAAUUGUACUAACGAUAUAAAAGAUAUCAGAAAUAAAGAU